This 505-nucleotide ribosomal RNA is filed under the name uncultured bacterium. RNAcentral's name for it is "partial 16S ribosomal RNA". It matches the Rfam family "Bacterial small subunit ribosomal RNA", at positions 28 to 507 of the family's 1533-position model. The record is from RNAcentral.
GACGAACGCUGGCGGCGUGCCUAAUACAUGCAAGUAGAACGCACAGUUUAUACCGUAGCUUGCUACACCAUAAACUGUGAGUUGCGAACGGGUGAGUAACGCGUAGGUAACCUGCCUGGUAGCGGGGGAUAACUAUUGGAAACGAUAGCUAAUACCGCAUAAUAUUGAUUAUUGCAUGAUAAUUGAUUGAAAGAUGCUAUUGCAUCACUACCAGAUGGACCUGCGUUGUAUUAGCUAGUAGGUGAGGUAACGGCUCACCUAGGCGACGAUACAUAGCCGACCUGAGAGGGUGAUCGGCCACACUGGGACUGAGACACGGCCCAGACUCCUACGGGAGGCAGCAGUAGGGAAUCUUCGGCAAUGGACGAAAGUCUGACCGAGCAACGCCGCGUGAGUGGAGAAGGUUUUCGGGUCGUAAAGCUCUGUUGUAAGAGAAGAACGGGUGUGAGAGUGGAAAGUUCACACUGUGACGGUAUCUUACCAGAAAGGGACGGCUAACUACGUG